This 254-nucleotide ribosomal RNA is filed under the name uncultured bacterium. RNAcentral's name for it is "partial 16S ribosomal RNA". It matches the Rfam family "Bacterial small subunit ribosomal RNA", at positions 524 to 776 of the family's 1533-position model. The record is from RNAcentral.
UACGUAGGGUGCGAGCGUUAAUCGGAAUUACUGGGCGUAAAGCGUGCGCAGGCGGUUUUGUAAGCCGGAUGUGAAAUCCCCGGGCUUAACCUGGGAAUGGCAUUCGGGACUGCAAGGCUGGAGUGCGGCAGAGGAGACUGGAAUUCCUGGUGUAGCAGUGAAAUGCGUAGAUAUCAGGAGGAACACCGAUGGCGAAGGCAGGUCUCUGGGCUGACACUGACGCUCAUGCACCGAAAGCGUGGGGAGCAAAGAGG